Molecule: ribosomal RNA, 253 nt
Filed under: uncultured bacterium
Lineage: Bacteria
Description: partial 16S ribosomal RNA
Rfam family: Bacterial small subunit ribosomal RNA
Source: RNAcentral
UACGAAGGGUGCAAGCGUUACUCGGAAUUACUGGGCGUAAAGCGUGCGUAGGUGGUUUGUUAAGUCUGAUGUGAAAGCCCUGGGCUCAACCUGGGAAUUGCAUUGGAUACUGGCAGGCUAGAGUGCGGUAGAGGGUAGUGGAAUUCCAGGUGUAGUGGUGAAAUACGUAGAUAUCUGGAGGAACACCGGUGGCGAAGGCGGCUACCUGGCCCAACAUUGACACUGAGACCCGAAAGCGUGGGGAUCAAACAGG